RNAcentral lists this ribosomal RNA (426 nucleotides) under uncultured bacterium. RNAcentral's name for it is "bacterial SSU rRNA". It matches the Rfam family "Bacterial small subunit ribosomal RNA", at positions 354 to 796 of the family's 1533-position model. The record is from RNAcentral.
GUGAGGAAUUUUCCGCAAUGGGCGAAAGCCUGACGGAGCAAUGCCGCGUGAAGGAUGAAGGCCUAUGGGUUGUAAACUUCUUUUCUCAGAAAAGAAUUAUGACGGUAUCUGAGGAAUAAGCAUCGGCUAACUCUGUGCCAGCAGCCGCGGUAAGACAGAGGAUGCAAGCGUUAUCCGGAAUGAUUGGGCGUAAAGCGUCUGUAGGUUGUUUAAAAAGUAUUCUGUCAAAGAUUAGGGCUUAACCCUAGAUAGGCAGAAUAAACUUUUAAGCUAGAGUUUUGUAGAGACAGAGGGAAUUCCCGGUGGAGCGGUGAAAUGCGUAGAUAUCGGGAGGAACACCAAAGGCGAAGGCACUCUGCUGGGCCAAUACUAACACUGAGAGACGAAAGCGAGGGGAGCAAAUGGGAUUAGAAACCCGUGUAGUCC